CUUUGUUCCAGUCUUAGCACCCGUGGUACCCUUCCUCUUUGGCUGGCUGGACUGGGUGGCAUCGGCACCUUGAUGUGUGACCUUUGCCGAUGCACUGGUUUGCUGCAAUAACGAACAAGGGUUUAUAAGUAUAAAUAAAGCCGAUAUAAAGAUAGUCAGCGUAAAAGAUAAAGAUUUGACAAAUUGCCUUGAAAGCCCGCGCCAGAGUGGGAGCAGCUACCGUUGGUGAUGUCUGGGUUCUCCUGGUUGUAACUUUCCUGAGGCGCGCACCCCGAUGCACGAUGGAAGCCAGAGUGGGAGCAUUGUGGCCGAUUGAGGAAAUCGGGCCUGAUGGAAACAAGUGGAUCGGCUUGCCACUCCUGCUAACCGAUGGAGGAAUAUUGUCAACCUGCAAAAGGAAUACAAGGGUAAGCUGCCGAUGGAAGUAAUAGUGAGAAAAUG
RNAcentral lists this long non-coding RNA (441 nucleotides) under Sorghum bicolor (sorghum). RNAcentral describes it as "long non-coding RNA (SBIC_LNC013969)". Lineage: Eukaryota; Viridiplantae; Streptophyta; Magnoliopsida; Poales; Poaceae. The record is from RNAcentral.